This 471-nucleotide ribosomal RNA is filed under the name uncultured Acinetobacter sp. RNAcentral describes it as "bacterial SSU rRNA". It matches the Rfam family "Bacterial small subunit ribosomal RNA", at positions 59 to 523 of the family's 1533-position model. The record is from RNAcentral. Lineage: Bacteria; Pseudomonadati; Pseudomonadota; Gammaproteobacteria; Moraxellales; Moraxellaceae.
AAGUCGAGCGGAGUGAUGGUGCUUGCACUAUCACUUACCGGCGGACGGGUGAGUAAUGCUUAGGAAUCUGCCAUUUAGUGGGGGACAACAUUCCGAAAGGAAUGCUAAUACCGCAUACGUCCUACGGGAGAAAGCAGGGGAUCUUCGGACCUUGCGCUAAAUGAUGAGCCUAAGUCGGAUUAGCUAGUUGGUGGGGUAAAGGCCUACCAAGGCGACGAUCUGUAGCGGGUCUGAGAGGAUGAUCCGCCACACUGGGACUGAGACACGGCCCAGACUCCUACGGGAGGCAGCAGUGGGGAAUAUUGGACAAUGGGCGGAAGCCUGAUCCAGCCAUGCCGUUUUUUUUGAAGAAGGCCUUUUGGUUGUAAAGCACUUUAAGCGAGGAGGAGGCUCUCCUAGUUAAUACCUAGGAAGAGUGGACGUUACUCGCAGAAUAAGCACCGGCUAACUCUGUGCCAGCAGCCGCGGUAA